AGCAGCCGCGGUAAUUCCAGCUCCAAUAGCGUAUAUUAAAGUUGUUGCAGUUAAAAGCUCGUAGUUGAAUUUCGAGAUCGGCUUACUGGUCGUGCUUUUGUACGUACUGGUAAAUCGGUUUCUCCUUUCUGACGAACUUUAAUGCCAUUAAUUUGGUGUUUUAGGGAAUCAGGACUGUUACUUUGAAAAAUUAGAGUGUUUAAAGCAGGCUCACGCUUGAAUACAUUAGCAUGGAAUAACGGAAUAGGACGUUUGAUUCUAUUUUGUUGGUUUCUAGGAUCGACGUAAUGAUUAAUAGGGAUAGUUGGGGGCAUUAGUAUUCAAUUGUCAGAGGUGAAAUUCUUGGAAUUUAUUUGGAAAUGAUCUAACUAACUGCGAAAGUCAAUUGCCAAUGGAUGUUUUCAUUAAUCAAGAACGAAAGUUAGGGGAUCGAAGACGAUCAGAUACCGUCGUAGUCUUAACCAUAAACUAUGCCGACUAGGGAUCGGAUGAUGUUAAUUUUUUAAUGACUCAUUCGGCG
RNAcentral lists this ribosomal RNA (520 nucleotides) under uncultured Glomus. RNAcentral describes it as "SSU rRNA". It matches the Rfam family "Eukaryotic small subunit ribosomal RNA", at positions 569 to 1085 of the family's 1831-position model. Lineage: Eukaryota; Fungi; Glomeromycota; Glomeromycetes; Glomerales; Glomeraceae. The record is from RNAcentral.